This 739-nucleotide long non-coding RNA is filed under the name Nicotiana benthamiana. RNAcentral's name for it is "long non-coding RNA (NBEN_LNC014695)". Lineage: Eukaryota; Viridiplantae; Streptophyta; Magnoliopsida; Solanales; Solanaceae. The record is from RNAcentral.
GAUGAUUGGAGGUGUUCUUGUAGAGAGAACUAUCAAGGAAGUCCUGCCUGCUGUUCAACGCAAUAAGGAGGGAAUUGAGGAAGUAAUAACUCGACUGAAUGAAGCUCUGGAGAAAAAGAAAAAGGAAAUAUCUGACUUUGAAACCAAGUAUGAUUGAGGAAGUAAUAGCUCGACUGAAUGAAGCUCUGGAGAAAAAGAAAAAGGAAAUAUCUGACUUUGAAACCAAGUAUAAAAUUAGAAUGAGAAAGCCUGAUGCGGAAGUAAAGGAGGAGAGUGGUCGAAAGGAAGGUUCCGCACAAGGAGUCCUUGUUGGUCCUGCUGGUUCAAAUGAGUAGACCAGUCUGUUUGCAAAAUCCAUUUUUGAGAUACUUUGCUGAAUAUGGUCAAGGAACUAUAACAUUUUAGCAUAGCUAUUCCGGUUAUUAGCGUGUGAUUUUUGAUGAGAAAGUUUAUAUGAUCAGAUCAGUGGUCUGAAACCUUGCUUCAUGGCCCUACCGGGUUUUUCACUAGACGAUGGUGAACUUUGGCAAUCUUGAUUUUCCCUCCUUGAACAUUAGCCAAGUGGUUCUACAUGUUGAGGCAUGUGGCAUUUUCUGCUUCCGCUAUGGAUUGUAGUUUAUUAGAUGUUUGAAUAGUGUUGUAGAUGGUUGAAUUCGGUUGGUUUUCCAGCCUGCUAGAAAUUUUUGUUAAUCAUUCCUAUCCACUAUUUUCUAAUAAAUUCGAACAUUAUACUCCUCAC